UGGCAGUUGGCAGUGCAGUGCUGGGGCUUGAACUGGGUGCAGGCGCCAUGAUCGCAAUUAUUGUUAUCGGCAUCGUCCUCAUCCUCAGCAUACUACUCAUCAUACUGAAGACAUAUAACAAGAAGAUGCACACAAGGAGGAUACUCAAUGGGACUUCCACCAAACCACGUAAAAACACGACCUCAACAACAAUGACGACACUGCAGAUGGAGAACAUGCGAGGCAGUGCCAACAUGCGAGGCAGCGCCAACAUGGGAGGCUUAGUACACUUGCCCAACAUCUCGGAGAACGGGUUCCAUUUACCACGAGCCGAGGUGGCUAACACGGCUGAACGAAUCAGCAUGAACAGUGGCUCCACUGUGGUCACGAUACAUAACACGCCAUCGAUCGAAAAUACGUAAAAAAACAAACAAAAAAAACAACAACCAAUAUGUGACUUCAAUGGGCUCCAUUGUGCUGUGUGAUGAGAAAACACACCCCCACAACGAACAAACUGAUCAGAGGAUGAUGACCAGGACAUGGAAAAACAAAAGACAGACCAAACAUUGAAUUACUGGCAUGUUGAGACAAACAUGAGCACCUCUGAAGGCCGAAUGUAGUCAAUGGACCACUGGGUCAGACUGUGGUCAAAUGGACCACAGGGACUCUCAGAGCUAAGCGUGGGCAAAUGGACCACUGGGGACAUUUAGGGUUCAUUAUAGUACUGAGAAAACCAUUCCACCAGGACCAGUGGCCAUUUCACCUAAUAACCCUACUUUGUGGUCUCUGGAAAAUGAAACUAUCCAGUUUUAUAAUAGGGACCUCACAUGUCAUGACUGAACAAGUAAUACAGUGUGUGGUAUCACAUAUAAACAGUUUCCUGUGAGUCCAAGUGCAAAGACAGUAAUAAAAAGAGUGAAGGUUGUAACGUGUAACUAUUGCACUAACAAUAACUGAUGUUUCCCUUUACUUAAAACUAAGAUCAACAGAAAACCCUUUUAGUCUAAGGGCAGUUGUUAAAUGGUCAGUAGAUGUUUAAUAUGCCACCACAGCAUUGCUGAAUUCUCGAACCAGAAGAAGCUGUAACAAACAAAAGGUGUAUAUUAACACAUCUGUGUACAUCAUUCUAAUAGGUUGUCGUUUCUAUAGCAACAGCUCAUUCACACAUUAAAAAUGUGUUGUUAUUUAAAUGUAGACUCAUUGAUCAUGUGAUGUUUUCUUGAGGAGACAUUUAUUUGAACAUGUUUGGAAGGAGUCUCCAGUGUCAGCACUUUGUAACAGUUUUCUGCCAUGUGAAAGUCUUCAGGAUGGAGGACUUUGCACAUUGAGAUUUCUUGUCUUAUUAACUUGAAGAGAAAUUGGGGGAAUAACUGUUUAGUAUUGUAAUGUAAGUGAUUAGUGCAUAUUAGCUGUGUUCGACUAGAACUCGUACACUGUAAUUCCCAACCUCCAGCCAAGAAAAGCUACUUGAAAACGCUACUGAAAAUAAUACACUCCACACGAAACUUCCCUCUUAUUCAUGUCGGGUCGUAUCGUAUCACACCCAGCUCAUGUUGAUUGUUUUCCUAUAAUAGCAUGGACGGUCAUGUUCUGUUCCUUACAUUUAACACAAUUUCAAAACCACAACACGAUAAAGGUCUUAUUAACAGACAAAAGUGGAAGUCUUAACAAAGCUGCUCUUAUGGAGUUUUGUCCAAAUUUCAAACACUAGAGUGAUACAGUUAAAAAUAUAUAUAUAUAAAUAAAUGAAUGAAAUGUUACUUACAUUUUCCCUGAGGUUUAUUAAUAUCUGUCCACAAUCCUGAGGAAACAGAAGAACUGUUCAUCAAAUUUAUACAUUUGACUGAAGAAUUCAUUAAAGCUCUCUACAUGUUAAAUGCAUACGUUUACUAUCACCCAUCUGACGCCCAACAGCCUCCCUAUGUUUUGUGUUUCACAUAAGAAUCUCUUGCUCUUUUCUCAGUAAAGAGAAACGUCAAAAUUGUCUAUGGUGCACAUUAUGGAUGUAGUAGAUAGGAUGUAGUGAGAGGAGAAAAAAAACAAACUCCGGAGCAUUUUAAGGCAGUAACUUGAUGUACAAGUUGGUGUUUACUUUAGAAUUUUGCACAUUCACAUGAUAUUGAGUAAAUGAAGCUUUUUAUGUUGUUGGGACAUUAAAAACAAAUGAAAUGAUUUGUGUGAAUUGUGCUGUUACUGGUUACACCUACUAAGAUUCCUGUACAAGUUCAACUUGUGUACCAUGGAGUCAUGGAACUCGAUUCUGAUUGGUCAGACGCGUGUUGAUGAAUUUUCUAUAAAAGGUUUUUAUUAAGGC
Ictalurus punctatus (channel catfish) is the source of this 2293-nucleotide long non-coding RNA. The record is from Ensembl. NCBI's taxonomy places the organism in Eukaryota, Metazoa, Chordata, Actinopteri, Siluriformes, Ictaluridae.